GACGAACGCUGGCGGCGUGCUUAACACAUGCAAGUCGAACGGAAAGGCCCUGCUUUUGUGUGGUGCUCGAGUGGCGAACGUGUGAGUAACACGUGAGUAACCUUCCCUUUACUUUGUGAUAACUUCAGGAAACUGGUGCUAAUACCGGAUAGGUGCUCCUGCUGCAUGGUGGGGGUUGGACAGUUUCGGCGGUUGGGGAUGGACUCGCGGCUUAUCAGCUUGUUGGUGGGGUAGUGGCUUACCAAGGCUUUGACGGGUAGCCGGCCUGAGAGGGUGACCGGCCACAAUGGGACUGAGAGACGGACCAGACUCCUACGGGAGGCAGCAGUGGGGAAUAUUGCACAAUGGGCGGAAGCGUGAUGCAGAAACGCCGCGUGCGGGAUGACGGCCUUCGGGGUGUAAACCGCUUUAGCCUGUGACGAAGCGUGAGUGACGGUAAUGGGUAAAGAAGCACCGGCUAACUACGUG
RNAcentral lists this ribosomal RNA (468 nucleotides) under uncultured bacterium. Its description in RNAcentral is "partial 16S ribosomal RNA". It matches the Rfam family "Bacterial small subunit ribosomal RNA", at positions 28 to 507 of the family's 1533-position model. The record is from RNAcentral.